GACGAACGCUGGCGGCGUGCUUAACACAUGCAAGUCGAACGGUGAAGCGCCUUCCUUUUUGGUGGGUGUGGAUGAGUGGCGAACGGGUGAGUAACACGUGAGUAACCUGCCCCCUUCUUCUGGAUAACCGCAUGAAAGUGUGGCUAAUACGGGAUAUUCUGGGUCUGUCGCAUGAUGGGUCUGGGAAAGAUAUUGUUUCGGUGGGGGAUGGGCUCGCGGCCUAUCAGCUUGUUGGUGGGGUGAUGGCCUACCAAGGCGGUGACGGGUAGCCGGCCUGAGAGGGUGGACGGUCACACUGGGACUGAGACACGGCCCAGACUCCUACGGGAGGCAGCAGUGGGGAAUAUUGCACAAUGGGCGCAAGCCUGAUGCAGCGACGCCGCGUGAGGGAUGGAGGCCUUCGGGUUGUGGACCUCUUUCGCCAGUGAAGCAGGCCUGCCUCGUUUGUGGGUGGGUUGACGGUAGCUGGAUAAGAAGCGCCGGCUAACUACGU
This 493-nucleotide ribosomal RNA is filed under the name uncultured bacterium. Its description in RNAcentral is "partial 16S ribosomal RNA". It matches the Rfam family "Bacterial small subunit ribosomal RNA", at positions 28 to 506 of the family's 1533-position model. The record is from RNAcentral.